AUUGAACGCUGGCGGCAGGCCUAACACAUGCAAGUCGAGCGAGCGGCGGACGGGUGAGUAAUGUCUGGGAAACUGCCUGAUGGAGGGGGAUAAAUACUGGAAACGGUAGCUAAUACCGCAUACCAUCAGAUGUGCCCAGAUGGGAUGAGCUAGUAGGUGGGGUAACGGCUCACCUAGGCGACGAUCCCUAGCUGGUAUGAGAGGAUGACCAGCAACAUUGGAACUGAGACAAGGUCCAGACUCCUACGUGAGGCAGCGGUGGGGAAUAGUCGAGAAGGGGCGCAAGCCUGAUGCAGCCAAGCCGCGUGUGUUAAGAAGGCCUUCGGGUUGUAAAGCACUUUAAGCGGGGGGGCGUUACCCGAAGAAGAAGCACCGGCUAACUCCGUGCCAGCCGCCGCGGUAAUAC
RNAcentral lists this ribosomal RNA (406 nucleotides) under uncultured bacterium. RNAcentral describes it as "partial 16S ribosomal RNA". It matches the Rfam family "Bacterial small subunit ribosomal RNA", at positions 29 to 526 of the family's 1533-position model. The record is from RNAcentral.